AAACUAUCAAGGGACUCAGAUAUUCAGAAUAUCAGUUUUGUCUGAAUUUAACAACCACCCAUCUCAAUUCCAUCCGAAUGGUACAGUCCUGUGAAUAUAAGAACAGCAGCUAAGACACAUAAUCUCCGCACUCUAGAAAUAACACCCUCCAGAAAGCCUGAUGCUACCCCUCUACCCCGAACGAGCAUCUUUCCCUUCAGUGAGCAGGUUUAUGGGUUUAUAUUUACUGGCAUGGAAUCUCAUCCCAUUUCAUGCAGUCCACUGCCUCAAUGUCUCCGGGUCACUUUGGAUGCCUUCUGCUGGGUGUUUGCUGUCCAUCUGGUUAAAAUCAAU
This is a long non-coding RNA of Mauremys reevesii (Reeves's turtle), 333 nucleotides long. RefSeq lists it as uncharacterized. Lineage: Eukaryota; Metazoa; Chordata; Testudines; Geoemydidae. The record is from RefSeq and is a predicted model, not a curated record. The transcript is spliced from 3 exons.